This 293-nucleotide ribosomal RNA is filed under the name Yamadazyma membranifaciens. RNAcentral's name for it is "[Candida] membranifaciens partial 26S ribosomal RNA". It matches the Rfam family "Eukaryotic large subunit ribosomal RNA", at positions 73 to 366 of the family's 3401-position model. Lineage: Eukaryota; Fungi; Ascomycota; Pichiomycetes; Serinales; Debaryomycetaceae. The record is from RNAcentral.
AAUGCCCUUUAUACGGCGAGUGAGCGGCAAUAGCUCAAAUUUGAAUCUGGCACCUUCGGUGUCCGAGUUGUAAUUUGAAGAAGGCAUCUUUGGUUUUGGACCUUGCCUAUGUUCCUUGGAACAGGACGUCAUGGAGGGUGAGAAUCCCGUGUGAUGAGAUGCCCAAUUCCAUGUAAAGUUCCUUCGACGAGUCGAGUUGUUUGGGAAUGCAGCUCUAAGUGGGUGGUAAAUUCCAUCUAAAGCUAAAUAUUGGCGAGAGACCGAUAGCGAACAAGUACUGUGAAGGAAAGAUG